ACACUAAAUUUGGGUCUUUGCUAUAAGAUAAAGGAAAAACAAAAGCACUAGUGUGAUCAAUGGGGCCAUCUCUGAUUAAUAUGGGAUUCUCUCUGUCAAUGGCAGUAAUGGGAUGAAUGGUUGGUGAUGUUGGUGGGGAUGCAUAGAGUGCAGACGUCUCAAGAAUCUGUCUUCUGACAUUUUCAUGUUGUUGGGCAAUCUUUUGUGCCUUCAAAGCCGUCAAGUACAAUCCAGCAGCAAGAAAAACUGAUGUCAAAGCAAGAACUCCAGCUGCAGAGAAUAACCCUUCUCUGAUUACAAGGCAACUGGCUCUUGGUUUAUACCAAUUCUUCAAAUGCCCAGAUUCAAUGCUUAAUCCAAUCAGUAACAAGAUUUCCCCAACAGCAAAACAAAUCCUGAAAAUGGGUUUUUGGGUGUUAGUUUGAUGAUAAUGAUAUAGAGUUACACUUAUUAAGUUGUGAGAAAGUUUGAUCUGUUUGAUUGAAACAGAAAUAAGAAGAAGAAAAAAAAGAGGGCUUUCAAGUUAUAUGACAAUUAAAAUUCAUAUUUUGGGUACUUUCCUAUUGCUUUUGAUGUUAUGAUGAAAUAAGAUUCAAAACUGUUUGAUGUUAUGACUGAAAGAGAAAGUGAAGUGACUUUUAGUUUUACUUACCAAGUGGUGACAAAGAAGAAUCCUGCUUGGCAUGUCAAAUUCUUUGCAGAGCCAAAAUCUGGGUCCAAUGUGGCCAAAGCAGAAGGUGGAAGCUUACUGACUGCAAUCAACAUGAAUAUGUGCUCAAUCAUCAUGGCAAUAGCUAAUCCCACAAAAGCAACCACAGCACAAAGCAAAGGUGUUUUCCCACUUCCACUAUAUACACAUUCAUAGUUAUUAUUGCCUUCUCUACCUGUGUCUAUCCAUGUCAUCUGCAAACAAAGAUUUCAGAAUUAUUUUUCAGUAUCUGUUUUCCACAAUGAAAAAGAACAAGGAAUGAUUUAGUAAGUACUACACCUCUGAACGUGUGGCCUCUGAAAUUAGACAGAGAAUGAAACAUAAUAAACCACAUAGAAUAGUUAAGAUUAUUAGGAAGACACCAAGUUUGCUCCCCAAAUUAGUGCAUCCAUUACUUGGAGCAAGAUCUGCAUGUGUUAUGGCCUUUGUUUUUGGCAUUGUUGUUGUGUUCAAAUAGGCUCAUGCAGACUAAGAGGAAACAAACUAUACAUAUACAUAUACAUAUAGCUUUUUAUAUGUAUAUUUAUAUUUAUUUACAUACACAUAUGAAAGACUGAAAGAUAGAGAGAAGGAAUUAUAGAAUCACUUGGAGCAAAGGUUGCUUAAUAGAAACGGAUUCUUGGGUUAUAGCAUAUAUGUUUUGUUUAAGAUGUUCACAUAAGGAUAAAUGGUUGGUUCACAAAACUUUGAUAGAAAGGUAUUCUGCUACAAAAAGAUAAAGUCACAUUUACUCUUAUUUUCAUUUUUCUCUUAUUCUAAACCUAUAUAUAUACAUAGCUCUUCUUUUUUAUUAUUAUUAUUUUUAAAAAGUUACAUAGUCAUAGUGUUAAAUUAUACACAUGUGUGUAUAUGUGUGUGUGGAAGAUGGGUACUCAUUGGACUUUUCUUUGAGUGAAAUAAAUUUUGGCUUUAUAUU
Long non-coding RNA from Cannabis sativa, 1625 nucleotides. RefSeq lists it as uncharacterized. Lineage: Eukaryota; Viridiplantae; Streptophyta; Magnoliopsida; Rosales; Cannabaceae. The transcript has 2 exons. The record is from RefSeq and is a predicted model, not a curated record.